RNAcentral lists this long non-coding RNA (312 nucleotides) under Musa acuminata (dwarf banana). RNAcentral's name for it is "long non-coding RNA (MACU_LNC011484)". The record is from RNAcentral. Lineage: Eukaryota; Viridiplantae; Streptophyta; Magnoliopsida; Zingiberales; Musaceae.
UCUGCAGCUUUGCUUCGGUGCGUCAAUCGCUUCUUCCGGCGAGUUUCCGGCGAACUUCCGUCGAUCAUCCGAUGAACCCUCGGUGAUGCUCCUGCGGACUUCCGGCAAACUCCUGGACUUUGCGAUGAUCCACUUGGCGAGUUCCGACGAGCUUCGCUUGGCAAGCUUCUGGACUUCUCGGAUCUGUUCUCGCAGAACCUCCGACGACCGUCCGAACUUCCAUCGAACUCUCGAACUCCCAACGUGAUCAUGAACUUGACUCCGGCGCAACUCCUGCUGCUUGUCUAACUUUCAUCAUAGUUAAUCCUGCAC